UGCAAGUCGAACGGUAACAGGAAGCAGCUUGCUGCUUCGCUGACGAGUGGCGGACGGGUGAGUAAUGUCUGGGAAACUGCCUGAUGGAGGGGGAUAACUACUGGAAACGGUAGCUAAUACCGCAUAACGUCGCAAGACCAAAGAGGGGGACCUUCGGGCCUCUUGCCAUCGGAUGUGCCCAGAUGGGAUUAGCUUGUUGGUGGGGUAACGGCUCACCUAGGCGACGAUCCCUAGCUGGUCUGAGAGGAUGACCAGCCACACUGGAACUGAGACACGGUCCAGACUCCUACGGGAGGCAGCAGUGGGGAAUAUUGCACAAUGGGCGCAAGCCUGAUGCAGCCAUGCCGCGUGUAUGAAGAAGGCCUUCGGGUUGUAAAGUACUUUCAGCGGGGAGGAAGGGAGUAAAGUUAAUACCUUUGCUCAUUGACGUUACCCGCAGAAGAAGCACCGGCUAACUCCGUGCCAGCAGCCGCGGUAAUACGGAGGGUGCAAGCGUUAAUCGGAAUUACUGGGCGUAAAGCGCACGCAGGCGGUUUGUUAAGUCAGAUGUGAAAUCCCCGGGCUCAACCUGGGAACUGCAUCUGAUACUGGCAAGCUUGAGUCUCGUAGAGGGGGGUAGAAUUCCCAGGUGUAGCGGUGAAAUGCGUAGAGAUCUGGAGGAAUACCGGUGGCGAAGGCGGCCCCCUGGACGAAGACUGACGCUCAGGUGCGAAAGCGUGGGGAGCAAACAGGGAUUAGAUACCCUGGUAGUCCACGCCGUAAACGAUGUCGACUUGGAGGUUGUGCCCUUGAGGCGUGGCUUCCGGAGCUAACGCGUUAAGUCGACCGCCUGGGGAGUACGGCCGCAAGGUUAAAACUCAAAUGAAUUGACGGGGGCCCGCACAAGCGGUGGAGCAUGUGGUUUAAUUCGAUGCAACGCGAAGAACCUUACCUGGUCUUGACAUCCACAGAACUUUUCAGAGAUGGAUUUGUGCCUUCGGGAACUGUGAGACAGGUGCUGCAUGGCUGUCGUCAGCUCGUGUUGUGAAAUGUUGGGUUAAGUCCCGCAACGAGCGCAACCCUUAUCCUUUGUUGCCAGCGGUCCGGCCGGGAACUCAAAGGAGACUGCCAGUGAUAAACUGGAGGAAGGUGGGGAUGACGUCAAGUCAUCAUGGCCCUUACGACCAGGGCUACACACGUGCUACAAUGGCGCAUACAAAGAGAAGCGACCUCGCGAGAGCAAGCGGACCUCAUAAAGUGCGUCGUAGUCCGGAUUGGAGUCUGCAACUCGACUCCAUGAAGUCGGAAUCGCUAGUAAUCGUGGAUCAGAAUGCCACGGUGAAUACGUUCCCGGGCCUUGUACACACCGCCCGUCACACCAUGGGAGUGGGUUGCAAAAGAAGUAGGUAGCUUAACCUUCGGGAGGGCG
This 1408-nucleotide ribosomal RNA is filed under the name Escherichia coli. RNAcentral's name for it is "bacterial SSU rRNA". It matches the Rfam family "Bacterial small subunit ribosomal RNA". The record is from RNAcentral. Lineage: Bacteria; Pseudomonadati; Pseudomonadota; Gammaproteobacteria; Enterobacterales; Enterobacteriaceae.